This 253-nucleotide ribosomal RNA is filed under the name uncultured bacterium. RNAcentral describes it as "partial 16S ribosomal RNA". It matches the Rfam family "Bacterial small subunit ribosomal RNA", at positions 524 to 776 of the family's 1533-position model. The record is from RNAcentral.
UACAGGGGGUGCAAACGUUGCUCGGAAUCAUUGGGCGUAAAGCGCACGUAGGCGGUCUGUUAUGUCGGAUGUGAAAGCCCUUGGCUCAACUGAGGAAGUGCAUCCGAAACUGGCAGGCUAGAGUACUAAAGAGGGUCGCGGAAUUCCCGGUGUAGCGGUGAAAUGCGCAGAUAUCAGGAGGAACACCGGUGGCGAAGGCGGGACUCUGGGCCAGUACUGACGCUGAGGAGCGAAAGCGUGGGGAGCGAACAGG